GCCCGUGUAGCUUAGCUGGCAAAGCAGCCGACUCUUAAUCGGAAGACCGAGGGUUCAAAUCCCUCUACGGGUA
Molecule: transfer RNA, 73 nt
Filed under: Lachnospiraceae bacterium
Lineage: Bacteria; Bacillati; Bacillota; Clostridia; Lachnospirales; Lachnospiraceae
Description: tRNA-Lys
Rfam family: tRNA
About the family: Transfer RNA (tRNA) molecules are approximately 80 nucleotides in length. Their secondary structure includes four short double-helical elements and three loops (D, anti-codon, and T loops).
Source: RNAcentral